GUAUAUGUCCUUAGACUUCCCUAUUUGAAUGGAAGUAGAUUCAACAUCAGUGAUGACACAAUUAAUGGUACCUGUAUGUGUGCGUGUGUGUGUGCGCGUCAUAUGUGAGUAACCAUGUACAUAGGUGUAUAUAUGUGGGUAAAGUUUUAAUAAUAAAGACAGAGAUCAGCGGGUCCAAAGAACUAAUAGUGUCAUUAAAAUCUUGACGGUGUUAAGUGAUCAAAUUAGAGCCAUCCUAGUAUAUAUAUGAAUCUCUAUGUGAUUCAUCGAUAUUGAUUGAUCUCUUUUUUCGUAUAUCUCAUUGCAGGGUGAGGGGUUCAAUAAUUAUGGUGGUAUAUAUGUCCAGAGGAAUCCACGGCUGAAAGUCAAGGUGGUGGAUGGGAGUAGCUUGGCUGUGGCCGUCAUCCUUAACAGCAUUCCGAAAGGGACAACCCAGGUUCUCCUUACAGGCAACCUCACAAAGGUUGCUUAUGCCCUUGCCUUUUCUUUGUGCCAAAGAGAUAUCCAGGUAGUUACAUUACAGCAGGCUGAGUAUUUGAAGCUCACCAAAUCAUUAAAUGGUACAGAGGGUAAGGUGGUUCAUGACAGAAGCUAUGCUCAAAAGAUUUGGUUGGUGGGAGAUGGGUUGAGUAAAAAAGAA
Molecule: long non-coding RNA, 640 nt
Organism: Rosa rugosa (rugosa rose)
Lineage: Eukaryota; Viridiplantae; Streptophyta; Magnoliopsida; Rosales; Rosaceae
Exons: 3
Source: RefSeq, a predicted model, not a curated record